This 270-nucleotide ribosomal RNA is filed under the name uncultured archaeon. RNAcentral's name for it is "partial 16S ribosomal RNA". It matches the Rfam family "Archaeal small subunit ribosomal RNA", at positions 477 to 747 of the family's 1478-position model. The record is from RNAcentral.
CCGCAGCCCAAGUGGUGAUCGCUUUUAUUGAGCCUAAAGCGUCCGUAGCCUGUCUAUUAAAUUCCUGAGUAAAUCGGAGAGCUUAACUUUCCGAAUUUCGGGAAGACUGAUAGACUUGGAACCGGAAGAGGUCAGAGGUACUCUCAGGGUAGGGGUGAAAUCCUGUAAUCCUGAGAGGACCACCAGUGGCGAAGGCGUCUGACUAGGACGGAUUCGACGGUGAGGGACGAAGCCCUGGGGCGCAAACCGGAUUAGAGACCCGUGUAGUCC